UUUUAUGAGAGUUUGAUCCUGGCUCAGGACGAACGCUGGCGGCGUGCCUAAUACAUGCAAGUAGAACGCUGAAGUCUGGUGCUUGCACUAGACGGAUGAGUUGCGAACGGGUGAGUAACGCGUAGGUAACCUGCCUCAUAGCGGGGGAUAAYUAUUGGAAACGAUAGCUAAUACCGCAUAACAGUAUUUACUGCAUGGUAGAUACUUGAAAGGAGCAAUUGCUUCACUAUGAGAUGGACCUGCGUUGUAUUAGCUAGUUGGUGAGGUAACGGCUCACCAAGGCAUCGAUACAUAGCCGACCUGAGAGGGUGAUCGGCCACACUGGGACUGAGACACGGCCCAGACUCCUACGGGAGGCAGCAGUAGGGAAUCUUCGGCAAUGGGGGCAACCCUGACCGAGCAACGCCGCGUGAGUGAAGAAGGUUUUCGGAUCGUAAAGCUCUGUUGUAAGAGAAGAACUGUGAGAAGAGUGGAAAGUUUCUCACUUGACGGUAUCUUACCAGAAAGGGACGGCUAACUACGUGCCAGCAGCCGCGGUAAUACGUAGGUCCCGAGCGUUGUCCGGAUUUAUUGGGCGUAAAGCGAGCGCAGGCGGUUUGAUAAGUCUGAAGUAAAAGGCUGUGGCUUAACCAUAGUACGCUUUGGAAACUGUCAAACUUGAGUGCAGAAGGGGAGAGUGGAAUUCCAUGUGUAGCGGUGAAAUGCGUAGAUAUAUGGAGGAACACCGGUGGCGAAAGCGGCUCUCUGGUCUGUAACUGACGCUGAGGCUCGAAAGCGUGGGGAGCGAACAGGAUUAGAUACCCUGGUAGUCCACGCCGUAAACGAUGAGUGCUAGGUGUUGGGUCCUUUCCGGGACUCAGUGCCGCAGCUAACGCAUUAAGCACUCCGCCUGGGGAGUACGACCGCAAGGUUGAAACUCAAAGGAAUUGACGGGGGCCCGCACAAGCGGUGGAGCAUGUGGUUUAAUUCGAAGCAACGCGAAGAACCUUACCAGGUCUUGACAUCCCGAUGACCGCCCUAGAGAUAGGGUUUCUCUUCGGAGCAUCGGUGACAGGUGGUGCAUGGUUGUCGUCAGCUCGUGUCGUGAGAUGUUGGGUUAAGUCCCGCAACGAGCGCAACCCCUAUUGUUAGUUGCCAUCAUUCAGUUGGGCACUCUAGCGAGACUGCCGGUAAUAAACCGGAGGAAGGUGGGGAUGACGUCAAAUCAUCAUGCCCCUUAUGACCUGGGCUACACACGUGCUACAAUGGCUGGUACAACGAGUCGCAAGUCGGUGACGGCAAGCUAAUCUCUUAAAGCCAGUCUCAGUUCGGAUUGUAGGCUGCAACUCGCCUACAUGAAGUCGGAAUCGCUAGUAAUCGCGGAUCAGCACGCCGCGGUGAAUACGUUCCCGGGCCUUGUACACACCGCCCGUCACACCACGAGAGUUUGUAACACCCGAAGUCGGUGAGGUAACCUUUUAGGAGCCAGCCGCCUAAGGUGGGAUAGAUGAUUGGGGUGAAGUCGUAACAAGGUAGCCGUAUCGGAAGGKGCGGCUGGAUCACCUCCUUU
Molecule: ribosomal RNA, 1549 nt
Filed under: Streptococcus suis TL13
Lineage: Bacteria; Bacillati; Bacillota; Bacilli; Lactobacillales; Streptococcaceae
Description: 16S ribosomal RNA
Rfam family: Bacterial small subunit ribosomal RNA
Source: RNAcentral